RNAcentral lists this ribosomal RNA (406 nucleotides) under uncultured bacterium. RNAcentral's name for it is "partial 16S ribosomal RNA". It matches the Rfam family "Bacterial small subunit ribosomal RNA", at positions 30 to 526 of the family's 1533-position model. The record is from RNAcentral.
AUUGAACGCUGGCGGCAGGCCUAACACAUGCAAGUCGAACGAGUGGCGGACGGGUGAGUAGUGUCUGGGCACCUGCCUGAUGGAGGGGGCUAACUACUGUAAACGGUAGCUAAUACCGCAUACAAUCAGAUGUGGCCAGAUGGACUUAGCUGGUUGGUGGGGUACCGGCUCCCAAAGGGGACGAUCCCUAGCUGGUCUGAGAGGAUGACCAGCCACACUGGAACUGAGAAACGGCCCAGAAUCGUACGGGAGGCAGCAGGUGGGAAUAUGGCACAAGGGGCGAAAGCCUGAUGCAGCCAUGCCGCGUGUAUGAAGAAGGCCUACGGGUUGUAAAGUACUUUCAGCGGGGAGGCGUUACCCGAAGAAGAAGCACCGGCUAACUCCGUGCCAGCAGCCGCGGUAAUUC